UGGUCUGGUUUCUCUUCAGCUCAUGUAAAUCUUUUGUCUUUUACUAAAGACUUCCAUGGAGAGGAGCAUUGACAAGUUGGCAACUAAUUUUUGGUUGAGCUGUGGUGGUGCUGGA
Crocodylus porosus (Australian saltwater crocodile) is the source of this 115-nucleotide small nuclear RNA. Its record names the gene U5. It matches the Rfam family "U5 spliceosomal RNA". From Rfam's summary of the family: U5 RNA is a component of both types of known spliceosome. The record is from Ensembl. NCBI's taxonomy places the organism in Eukaryota, Metazoa, Chordata, Crocodylia, Crocodylidae.